GCCUUGGGAAGAAGACUCCCAGCCUGAGGGUCUUGUUGAGAGUUUUAAUGUCCCCUUUAGGGACAUCUUUGCUUUUCUUUCUUUCAGAAGAGGAAUCAAUUCUGGACCAGAGGAUGUCUCCCUGCCUUUGCCCUGCCUGCCUCCCCCCACAUCCUUCUCUGGCAAGGGGAAUGAGGCUGAGAAUGACCUCCAUCCGCAGGACGAGAUUCUCUAGGAAACAAGAAAUCAAAUCUCCGGGGACUAUCCAGGUGGGAAAUGGAAAUAAAUGAUAAACAUACGAAUACAUCGAUUCUGUUUCCUAUUGGUUG
Molecule: long non-coding RNA, 308 nt
Filed under: Homo sapiens (human)
Lineage: Eukaryota; Metazoa; Chordata; Mammalia; Primates; Hominidae
Description: non-protein coding lnc-CARD11-22:8
Source: RNAcentral